UUAAAUUGAAGAGUUUGAUCAUGGCUCAGAUUGAACGCUGGCGGCAGGCCUAACACAUGCAAGUCGAACGGUAACAGGAAGCAGCUUGCUGCUUCGCUGACGAGUGGCGGACGGGUGAGUAAUGUCUGGGAAACUGCCUGAUGGAGGGGGAUAACUACUGGAAACGGUGGCUAAUACCGCAUAACGUCGCAAGACCAAAGAGGGGGACCUUCGGGCCUCUUGCCAUCAGAUGUGCCCAGAUGGGAUUAGCUUGUUGGUGAGGUAACGGCUCACCAAGGCGACGAUCCCUAGCUGGUCUGAGAGGAUGACCAGCCACACUGGAACUGAGACACGGUCCAGACUCCUACGGGAGGCAGCAGUGGGGAAUAUUGCACAAUGGGCGCAAGCCUGAUGCAGCCAUGCCGCGUGUAUGAAGAAGGCCUUCGGGUUGUAAAGUACUUUCAGCGGGGAGGAAGGUGUUGUGGUUAAUAACCGCAGCAAUUGACGUUACCCGCAGAAGAAGCACCGGCUAACUCCGUGCCAGCAGCCGCGGUAAUACGGAGGGUGCAAGCGUUAAUCGGAAUUACUGGGCGUAAAGCGCACGCAGGCGGUCUGUCAAGUCGGAUGUGAAAUCCCCGGGCUCAACCUGGGAACUGCAUUCGAAACUGGCAGGCUUGAGUCUUGUAGAGGGGGGUAGAAUUCCAGGUGUAGCGGUGAAAUGCGUAGAGAUCUGGAGGAAUACCGGUGGCGAAGGCGGCCCCCUGGACAAAGACUGACGCUCAGGUGCGAAAGCGUGGGGAGCAAACAGGAUUAGAUACCCUGGUAGUCCACGCCGUAAACGAUGUCUACUUGGAGGUUGUGCCCUUGAGGCGUGGCUUCCGGAGCUAACGCGUUAAGUAGACCGCCUGGGGAGUACGGCCGCAAGGUUAAAACUCAAAUGAAUUGACGGGGGCCCGCACAAGCGGUGGAGCAUGUGGUUUAAUUCGAUGCAACGCGAAGAACCUUACCUGGUCUUGACAUCCACAGAACUUUCCAGAGAUGGACUGGUGCCUUCGGGAACUGUGAGACAGGUGCUGCAUGGCUGUCGUCAGCUCGUGUUGUGAAAUGUUGGGUUAAGUCCCGCAACGAGCGCAACCCUUAUCCUUUGUUGCCAGCGGUUAGGCCGGGAACUCAAAGGAGACUGCCAGUGAUAAACUGGAGGAAGGUGGGGAUGACGUCAAGUCAUCAUGGCCCUUACGACCAGGGCUACACACGUGCUACAAUGGCGCAUACAAAGAGAAGCGACCUCGCGAGAGCAAGCGGACCUCAUAAAGUGCGUCGUAGUCCGGAUUGGAGUCUGCAACUCGACUCCAUGAAGUCGGAAUCGCUAGUAAUCGUGGAUCAGAAUGCCACGGUGAAUACGUUCCCGGGCCUUGUACACACCGCCCGUCACACCAUGGGAGUGGGUUGCAAAAGAAGUAGGUAGCUUAACCUUCGGGAGGGCGCUUACCACUUUGUGAUUCAUGACUGGGGUGAAGUCGUAACAAGGUAACCGUAGGGGAACCUGCGGUUGGAUCACCUCCUUACCUUAAAGAA
RNAcentral lists this ribosomal RNA (1554 nucleotides) under Salmonella enterica subsp. enterica serovar Muenchen. Its description in RNAcentral is "bacterial SSU rRNA". It matches the Rfam family "Bacterial small subunit ribosomal RNA". Lineage: Bacteria; Pseudomonadati; Pseudomonadota; Gammaproteobacteria; Enterobacterales; Enterobacteriaceae. The record is from RNAcentral.